UAGGGAGCAAGCGUUAUCCGGAUCUAUUGGGUGUAAAGGGUGCGUAGACGGGAAGGCAAGUUAGUUGUGAAAUCCCUCGGCUUAACUGAGGAACUGCAACUAAAACUAUCUUUCUUGAGUGUUGGAGAGGAAAGUGGAAUUCCUAGUGUAGCGGUGAAAUGCGUAGAUAUUAGGAGGAACACCGGUGGCGAAGGCGACUUUCUGGACAACAACUGACGUUGAGGCACGAAAGUGUGGGGAGC
This 242-nucleotide ribosomal RNA is filed under the name uncultured bacterium. RNAcentral describes it as "partial 16S ribosomal RNA". It matches the Rfam family "Bacterial small subunit ribosomal RNA", at positions 528 to 769 of the family's 1533-position model. The record is from RNAcentral.